GAUGAACGCUGGCGGCGUGCUUAACACAUGCAAGUCGAACGAAGCACCUUGAUUUGCUUCUUCGGAUGAAGAUCUUGGUGACUGAGUGUCGGACGGGUGAGUAACGCGUGGGUAACCUGCCUCAUAUAGGGGGAUAACAGUUAGAAAUGACUGCUAAUACCGCAUACGACCACCGCACCGCAUGGUGCAGGGGUAAAAACUCCGGUGGUAUGAGAUGGACCCGCGUCUGAUUAGGUAGAUGGUGGGGUAACGGCCUACCAAGCCGACGAUCAGUAGCCGAGCUGGGAGGGUAGCAGGCGACAUUGGGAAUGAGACACAGCCCAAACUCCUACGGGAGGAAGCAGUGGAGAAUAUUGCACAAUAGGGGAAACCCUGAUGGAGCCACGCCGCGUGAACGAUGAAGUAUUUCGGUAUGUAAAGCUCUAUCAGCAGGGAAGAAAAUGACGGUACCUGACUAAGAAGCACCGGCUAAAUACGUG
RNAcentral lists this ribosomal RNA (479 nucleotides) under uncultured bacterium. RNAcentral's name for it is "partial 16S ribosomal RNA". It matches the Rfam family "Bacterial small subunit ribosomal RNA", at positions 28 to 507 of the family's 1533-position model. The record is from RNAcentral.